UGACGGAGCAGACCGCGUGGGGGAGGAGGCUCUUGGGUUGUAAACCCCUUUUCUCAAGGAAGAACACAAUGACGGUACUUGAGGAAUAAGCCUCGGCUAACUCCGUGCCAGCAGCCGCGGUAAUACGGAGGAGGCAAGCGUUAUCCGGAAUGAUUGGGCGUAAAGCGUCCGUAGGUGGCAGUUCAAGUCUGCUGUCAAAGACAGUAGCUCAACUACUGAAAGGCAGUGGAAACUGAACAGCUAGAGUACGGUAGGGGCAGAGGGAAUUCCCGGUGUAGCGGUGAAAUGCGUAGAUAUCGGGAAGAACACCGGUGGCGAAAGCGCUCUGCUGGGCCGUAACUGACACUGAGGGACGAAAGCUAGGGGAGCGAAUGGGAUUAGAUACCCCAGUAGUC
Molecule: ribosomal RNA, 395 nt
Filed under: uncultured cyanobacterium
Lineage: Bacteria; Bacillati; Cyanobacteriota
Description: bacterial SSU rRNA
Rfam family: Bacterial small subunit ribosomal RNA
Source: RNAcentral